UCCCUGAUGGCCCAGCGGUUAGGACUCCAUGCUCCCAAAGCAGGGGACCCGGGUUCAAUCCCCGGUCAGGGAA
Molecule: transfer RNA, 73 nt
Filed under: Ovis aries (sheep)
Lineage: Eukaryota; Metazoa; Chordata; Mammalia; Artiodactyla; Bovidae
Rfam family: tRNA
About the family: Transfer RNA (tRNA) molecules are approximately 80 nucleotides in length. Their secondary structure includes four short double-helical elements and three loops (D, anti-codon, and T loops).
Source: Rfam by way of RNAcentral